Molecule: long non-coding RNA, 2083 nt
Filed under: Astyanax mexicanus (Mexican tetra)
Lineage: Eukaryota; Metazoa; Chordata; Actinopteri; Characiformes; Acestrorhamphidae
Description: lncRNA (ENSAMXG00005010269.1)
Source: RNAcentral
GCCAAUUACUGAGUUAAGCCCAGUCAUAUUUCUGUGGUCUUCCUAUGAGAGAUUUAUUUUUUUUCCUCACAAGUGCUAGACCAGCUAGCAUUAUGUCUGCUUCAAGAUCUAAGCCCUGUUUUCGGCUGCACAGACCAGCAGAAAUUGCUAUACUGCCCACCAGCCUCAGAGGACAGAGGACCUGUAAUAGCAGAGUCCAGCUACAGUCAGCAGUAACUAGCAUGCUACGUGUGUGUGUGUGUGUGUGUGUGCUAACCCUGUUUGUGUGUAACUGCUUUCCAACCUGGAUAUGUACAACACAGGCAGCGAAACUAACUGAAGAACCAAUUAUAUUUCACUAAUGAAUGUCUGGCAAAACUGCAGACAAGAAACAUUUAAGGAAAACAGAGAGGGAACGAGUGAAAUGAACAAAAUCAAUAUUCACAGGCUGUUACCUCACAGAUGGAAAGAUGUUACCAGAGCUUGCAUGGUCUCCAGUGGUAGAUUAAACCCACUGAGGCUCAACAGGACUAAAUAUCAAAGUAGGAUUUGUUCACAAGAGGAGGUGUGGUAAGAUAAAGACAAUAGCUUCAACAAAACUAACCAGUCAGCUUCCUGUUUACGAUGCAAGUGGACGAGGGUCAACAGUAUUGUGGACACACGUCAGUUAAAUGUGGAGCUUCAAAAGUCACGCUCUUCUUGAUUCCCGUGGCAAUGCUGCUAUCAUCUGCAGGCAUGGACCAGUCCCCAUCAAUCGGCUUUGUCCUGCUUGACUUAUCCAAACACGGUGGUGGAAACCUCUUCUUCUUGCCAUCCCUGGUGACAGCUGGGCAAACAUUGACCCAUCUUUCCGCCCUUUUCCCUGUGACCCGGCUGCCGUCCACACUGGGCCCGAUGUGUCUGCGGUUGGGCUGCUGGGAUCCCAGACGCGUAAGACUUACUGCAAACAGGAGGGUCAAACACAGAUCCUACAGAGGGGUCAAGGAUAUGGUUGGUGAAAAUGUAUGGCUAUGUAAAAGAGUGGAAACUGAGCAAGCAGCACAGAGAAAAAGGAGGAACGAAAGAAUGGGAACAAAAGUGUGCAUAGAAAAUGAGAGUCUGUGAAAUGGAAGCAGGUGAAACUGAUAAAAGAGAAAUUGAAAGUGAAGAAAAUGAAGAUGGUUUAUAGAGAUGGACUCUCUGUCUGUUGCAAUUUUAAUUUAAAUGCUGGAUUGAUCUUACAAUACAAAUUAUAUUACUUCCUGAGCAAAUAUGUGUAGAAGAAAACCGAAUACGAAGAUAUUGGCAUUGCAUUUUAACGUGCAAUAAGUCCUACACGUUAUUAGUCAACAAUUAGAUCAGGUGAGAUCCUGCUUGGUUGAAAUGAAAACUUGCAGCAGCAUUGUCCCUCUGUAAAUAAGAUUUCUUGGAUGGUUUAUUAAAUGAAAUGUUGAACCCCAGUGCCAAUAACUUUCUUAUUAACUUUUCAUCUGCACACAUUUGCUGCGGCACUAAUGUAAUUUGUAAUGUACAGCUAGGUUUCCACUAUAGUGUUAGUGCUUUUUGAUUCUGACCUACAUCUUGUAUAGUAUUGUUACUCAAUUUGGCUUCUUUUGGCUUGGGAAACAUUGCUCUAAGAGAACUUUCAAAAUAUCAGAAUCGCUUUAGAACUACAUAACAUUUUAUUACUAUGAACAGUUUGUAUAAAGACAUAGUGAUGUGCACAAUACAUGAGCCAUCAAGACUCAAACACUAUGCAGUCUUUUACCUAUAGAAACUCAUAGGAGUGGAACUUAAAAAAAAUGGCUGUUGACUUCAGAAUAGGUGGCCACCAGUGAGCGGCUCUGGUGAUAAGAGUACCAAGAAUUUCGUUUUUUUACAUUGCAAAGAACCUUACCUGGUGCCUCAAUUCCAGCUCCUUGGCCAGAGAUGCACAACACUGGCUCUACUACCUCCUGCAGAGAAUGAGAAAUGCAAAAUUUCCAACUUAUUGUGCUCUACAGAGACUGUAGAGAGCAUCUUUAGCAGCUUCAUCUUUGGUUGGUUUUGGAUAGUAGAUAGUAAGGAAAGGUGAGAACAGUUGUUUUUACUGUUAUACUAAAUCUCAUUUUGUCCAGUGAUGAUC